UAUUUGGUUUAUCAGAACAAAGAUCAAUCAUAUCUUAUAAAACUCAGUUUAUUUUCUACUAAAUUAAUGAGUUUGAAUGUCCCUUUGGUAUCUUUCGCCUUUCUUUCACAACACUUUUAAAGGUGAUAAACUGCUUUUAGUUCAUUAUAUGUUGUUUAAGCAGACAUCUUAAUUUAUCAUGUAAUUCAAAUCAGGAACAUUUUGAAACUUAAGUCAGGGAUUAUCGUCGUCUUCACUGCGAUAUAAAUACUCAAUAUACAAGUGCUAUUCGGAUGGCGAUGCAGAGAAAUGGAACGUUCUACAUGGGAGAACUUAAAUUAUCUCUUCUUUUAAAUUGAAACGACCACAACUACGAGACAGUCAGGUUACUAUUCAAUGAACUCAAUGUUGCGUAUAAUAUUUUAUUUCCGCAAAUAUUUCUCGGAAAUGAUUUCAAAAUCAACUGCACUAAUGGGUCACCUGUGUUUUCAUGGUAGUGCGGUAAUUCCGUCACUGCGUAGUCAUGUAUGGAGGACCGGUUUUAACAUAUAUUAACUAUAACUUAAAGGGGCACUAGCUGUCAAAUUCAUGGUCACUGAUCUGACUCAAAUUCUCAUAUUUUAUUUAUAACAAUGUAAAACAUUUAUCCAAACUAUCAAAAAUCUAAAAUAAACUGUUUACAGAUCAUUGGAUCGGUAAUAUGUAGGUUGGUUUCGUGUGUAUUUUAGUCCAGACGCCAUCUAAUUAACUAUCGAUUUGACCUCAGAUGACCAUAAAAGCGAUGUAAACAUAAAUAAAGAUAUGAAUAGAUUAAGUCAAUACAUGCAAUUGGAUUUUUAUAGGUCUGUUUGAUUUUAUUUUAUAGAUUAAAAAUAUAUGUUUAUUAUUAUUUUUACCCGUAUGAGAAUGAUUUUAUGUGUUCGAAUCAGUUAUCAAAUGAUUAUCUUUGUUUCACUUUCAUUGUUGACAUUCUUUUUCUUUAAAUAACCAAUACACGUACAAAGCAUGCGUUGUCAAUCCCUAGCAAGGAGUUAAAUUGAAGUUCACAUGAAUACGGUUUUAACGAGGUCGACUUAUUCACUUGCAAGUGAAUAACUAAUUGUCAAUUUUUCUUAGCUCAAUUUGACAAAAUUGAACCAUUUUGGCUGUUAAAAAGCGAAUUAUUAUUUCACUAUUUCACUUUCAUUAUUGAUUGAAACAAAAAAAAUCUUACUUUAGAUUUUUUAUAUAUCUCGUAGCUAGUGCCCCUUUAAGGGAAUGGUGUUUUAUUAAUGGACCACUAAGAAAGGAACUUUGGAUGAACGAAAUAAAACAAAGUCAAUAUAAUAGAGAAAUUGGUGAUAUAGAAAAAUAAACCAAAAAAGUAAAAUAUAUGAUUAUAGAAAAAAAUAAGAAUUUCAAUAGCAUGGUUAUUAAUGAUUAUGGAUCUUUAAGACUUUUUUUAUUUUGGCUUUCCAUAGUUUUUAAAAUGGAUUUGUCGCCUUUUAUUAAGACUUUAUGUAAGCAAAUGGUUGAAAUGAUAUAGCAGACGAAAUAUUUUCGGGAAGUAAAGGGGUGGAGUUACUGGACGGGCGAAAUUACCGGACACGGUUGUAAUUUAAGAUUACUCGAUGUAGUGGCAAUCGUUAAGAAUGCAGUAUAUUUCAUUUUAUUUAGGAUUAUGCAUGAGAAAUGUGGUAAAUAUGCCUGUGUUCAAUAAAAGAUUUUUGCAUUUUGCACGCUAACUGAAAGUUGUAUAAUAUAUUGUAUCUAUUUCUAAUUGUCAAUCUAUG
This 1751-nucleotide long non-coding RNA is filed under the name Mytilus galloprovincialis (Mediterranean mussel). The record is from RNAcentral. Lineage: Eukaryota; Metazoa; Mollusca; Bivalvia; Mytilida; Mytilidae.